GGGAUAUUGGCUCAGUUGGUAGAGCGUUGGUCUCAUAUGAAAUGAUCUGGUGAAAUAUCAGGGCAAUCCAAAGGUCGUGAGUUCGAGCCUCACAUGUCCCA
Non-coding RNA from Bombardia bombarda, 101 nucleotides. NCBI's taxonomy places the organism in Eukaryota, Fungi, Ascomycota, Sordariomycetes, Sordariales, Lasiosphaeriaceae. The record is from the annotation of a GenBank genome assembly.